GUGACUGCGUACCUUUUGUAUAAUGGGUCAGCGACUUAUAUUCUGUAGCAAGGUUAACCGCAUAGGGGAGCCGGAGGGAAACCGAGUCUUAAUUGGGCGUUAAGUUGCAGGGUAUAGACCCGAAACCCGGUGAUCUAGCCAUGGGCAGGUUGAAGGUUGGGUAACACUAACUGGAGGACCGAACCGACUAAUGUUGAAAAAUUAGCGGAUGACCUGUGGCUGGGGGUGAAAGGCCAAUCAAACCGGGAGAUAGCUGGUUCUCCCCGAAAGCUAUUUAGGUAGCGCCUCGUGAAUUCAUCUCCGGGGGUAGAGCACUGUUUCGGCUAGGGGGCCAUCCCGGCUUACCAACCCGAUGCAAACUGCGAAUACCGGAGAAUGUUAUCACGGGAGACACACGGCGGGUGCUAACGUCCGUCGUGAAGAGGGAAACAACCCAGACCGCCAGCUAAGGUCCCAAAGUCAUGGUUAAGUGGGAAACGAUGUGGGAAGGCCCAGACAGCCAGGAUGUUGGCUUAGAAGCAGCCAUCAUUUAAAGAAAGCGUAAUAGCUCACUGGUCGAGUCGGCCUGCGCGGAAGAUGUAACGGGGCUAAACCAUGCACCGAAGCUGCGGCAGCGAACGUAUCACUUAAAGCGAUUCAGCGGGUUACGAUUGACGGAGCGAAGCGACGUCAAAGCGUAUACAAAGUCGAGUCGGUUUAAGGAUACGUUCGUUGGGUAGGGGAGCGUUCUGUAAGCCUG
RNAcentral lists this ribosomal RNA (739 nucleotides) under Salmonella enterica subsp. enterica serovar Agona. RNAcentral's name for it is "bacterial LSU rRNA". It matches the Rfam family "Bacterial large subunit ribosomal RNA", at positions 593 to 1251 of the family's 2925-position model. Lineage: Bacteria; Pseudomonadati; Pseudomonadota; Gammaproteobacteria; Enterobacterales; Enterobacteriaceae. The record is from RNAcentral.